AUCUUCCACAAUGGACGGAAGUCUGAUGGAGCAACGCCGCGUGAGCGAAGAAGGUCUUCGGAUCGUAAAGCUCUGUUGUAAGGGAAGAAUAAGUACAGUAGUAACUGGCUGUACCUUGACGGUACCUUACGAGAAAGCCACGGCUAACUACGUUCCAGCAGCCGCGGUAAUACGUAGGUGGCAAGCGUUGUCCGGAAUUAUUGGGCGUAAAGCGCGCGCAGGCGGCCUUUUAAGUCUGAUGUGAAAGCCCCCGGCUUAACCGGGGAGGGUCAUUGGAAACUGGGAGGCUUGAGUGCAGAAGAGGAAAGUGGAAUUCCAAGUGUAGCGGUGAAAUGCGUAGAGAUUUGGAGGAACACCAGUGGCGAAGGCGACUUUCUGGUCUGUUACUGACGCUGAGGCGCGAAAGCGUGGGGAGCAAACAGG
Molecule: ribosomal RNA, 423 nt
Filed under: uncultured bacterium
Lineage: Bacteria
Description: bacterial SSU rRNA
Rfam family: Bacterial small subunit ribosomal RNA
Source: RNAcentral